Stegastes partitus (bicolor damselfish) is the source of this 517-nucleotide non-coding RNA. NCBI's taxonomy places the organism in Eukaryota, Metazoa, Chordata, Actinopteri, Pomacentridae. The record is from the annotation of a RefSeq genome assembly.
AGCAGCUUGUUGAUGCUCCAUCUCCAAUACUGGAUUUCAAAUUAUGUUAUAACUGUAAAUUUGAUAUGGAAAUAGAUAUAAGUUGCUUUUUCUUUUCGCAAAUCUUGAUUUAGGUUUUCAGAAUGUCUCCAGCUUUCUGCACAUUUGGAUUUGUAUUGCUUUUGCUUCCAAGAAAAGUGGAGAGUGUUACGUUUCAACAGUCUCCUCCUCAAGUCGUUAAAGAAGGGACUAAGGAGCUGAAGAUUGACUGCAGUCACGAUGGCAGCAGCUUACAAGUAAUGCUGUGGUACCAACACAAGCAGAGCAGCCGGUCCAUGAGCCUCAUCGGGUACACAAUCCUCCAGACUGACCCAGUCUACGAGAGCCAGUUUCAAGGCAGAUUCCAGCUGAAAAGAGACAACACAAUGAACGGAUCCCUGAUCAUCAACACGGCGACGCCGUCAGACUCAGCCGUGUAUUUCUGUGCUGCAAGUACACAGUGAUGUGGUUUCUUACCAACGCUUCACCAAAAACCUCC